UUUUCCCAAUAUGUAAUAUUAAGGACAAACAAAGGAAAGUGUCGCCUAAAAAACAGAAACGACAACGCUAGAACACAUUGAAGGAUGGUCACCUAACCCAGAGUUGAGCUCAAUUCGGAGUCCUAACCACCUGUACCUCAACGACAAGUCUCAGAGUACUUAUGUCUAUUGGGAACUAUACCAGCGCAUGCCGUACUGCCUAUGCGUUUAUACAGCGCCUCCCUCGUUGGACUUGGACAGCGAAGAGUGUGACUCCCGUUUAGCUUUAAGUAGAUUUAGUUAUAGUUGUACUUUUAGUUCAUAUGUUAACUGUUAAUAUGAACCUCUGUUUUAAAUCCAAAGGUAUUAUCUCAUAUAUUUGUCUUAUAUUCGUUUUAACUUAACUUCAAACCAAAAUAUUGUUUGUAUUUCUAUAUUUGUUAAUCUAAGGAGAUUUAAAUGUUCAAUUGUUCUCCUUUUUGUAUUCUUUAAAUUCUCAG
This is a long non-coding RNA of Musca domestica (house fly), 479 nucleotides long. RefSeq lists it as uncharacterized. The record is from RefSeq and is a predicted model, not a curated record. NCBI's taxonomy places the organism in Eukaryota, Metazoa, Arthropoda, Insecta, Diptera, Muscidae. The transcript is spliced from 3 exons.